UACGUAGGGUGCGAGCGUUAAUCGGAAUUACUGGGCGUAAAGCGUGCGCAGGCGGCUUUGCAAGACAGAUGUGAAAUCCCCGGGCUCAACCUGGGAACUGCAUUUGUGACUGCAAGGCUAGAGUACGGCAGAGGGGGAUGGAAUUCCGCGUGUAGCAGUGAAAUGCGUAGAUAUGCGGAGGAACACCAAUGGCGAAGGCAAUCCCCUGGGCCUGUACUGACGCUCAUGCACGAAAGCGUGGGGAGCUAACAGG
Molecule: ribosomal RNA, 253 nt
Filed under: uncultured bacterium
Lineage: Bacteria
Description: partial 16S ribosomal RNA
Rfam family: Bacterial small subunit ribosomal RNA
Source: RNAcentral